UGAAAUGAGAAAGCUGUAUAUGCCAAUAG
This 29-nucleotide non-coding RNA is filed under the name Mus musculus (house mouse). Lineage: Eukaryota; Metazoa; Chordata; Mammalia; Rodentia; Muridae. The record is from RNAcentral.